GACGAACGCUGGCGGCGUGCUUAACACAUGCAAGUCGAACGGAAAGGCCCUGCUUUUGUGGGGUGCUCGAGUGGCGAACGGGUGAGUAACACGUGAGUAACCUGCCCUUCACUUUGGGAUAACUUCAGGAAACUGGGGCUAAUACCGGAUAGGAGCUCCUGCUGCAUGGUGGGGGUUGGAAAGUUUCGGCGGUUGGGGAUGGACGCGCGGCUUAUCAGCUUGUGGGUGGGGUAGUGGCUUACCAAGGCUUUGACGGGUAGCCGGCCUGAGAGGGUGACCGGCCACAUUGGGACUGAGAUACGGCGCAGACUCCUACGGGAGGCAGCAGUGGGGAAUAUUGCACAAUGGGCGGAAGCCUGAUGCAGCAACGCCGCGUGCGGGAUGACGGCCUUCGGGUUGUAAACCGCUUUCGCCUGUGACGAAGCGUGAGUGACGGUAAUGGGUAAAGAAGCACCGGCUAACUACGUG
RNAcentral lists this ribosomal RNA (468 nucleotides) under uncultured bacterium. Its description in RNAcentral is "partial 16S ribosomal RNA". It matches the Rfam family "Bacterial small subunit ribosomal RNA", at positions 28 to 507 of the family's 1533-position model. The record is from RNAcentral.